Molecule: small nucleolar RNA, 136 nt
Organism: Neogale vison (American mink)
Lineage: Eukaryota; Metazoa; Chordata; Mammalia; Carnivora; Mustelidae
Gene: SNORA70
Rfam family: Small nucleolar RNA SNORA70
About the family: snoRNA U70 seems to be exclusive to mammals and is a member of the H/ACA class of snoRNA which contain H (ANANNA) and ACA box motifs.
Source: Ensembl
CAGCAUAUAUUGUACAAAUUAGUAAACCUCACGUGUAAUAAGGAAAACCAUGCCAUGGUUGCAAACAGUAGCCUCGUUGGUACUGUAUGCAGCCUGUUGAUUGUAUGGGUUGCCCUAAGAGACCUUGGAGACAGCC